RNAcentral lists this ribosomal RNA (426 nucleotides) under uncultured bacterium. RNAcentral describes it as "partial 16S ribosomal RNA". It matches the Rfam family "Bacterial small subunit ribosomal RNA", at positions 355 to 774 of the family's 1533-position model. The record is from RNAcentral.
UGGGGAAUAUUGGACAAUGGGCGAAAGCCUGAUCCAGCAAUACCGCGUGUGUGAAGAAGGCCUUCGGGUUGUAAAACACUUUAAGUUGGGAAGAAAAAACUUUACCUAAUACGUGAAGUCUUGACGGUACCGACAGAAUAAGCACCGGCUAACUCUGUGCCAGCAGCCGCGGUAAUACAGAGGGUGCUAGCGUUAAUCGGAUUUACUGGGCGUAAAGCGUGCGUAGGUGGUUUGAUAAGCCGGUUGUGAAAGCCCCGGGCUCAACCUGGGAAUUGCGGCCGAUACUGUCAGACUCGAAAACGGUAGAGGGAGGUGGAACUCCAGGUGUAGCGGUGAAAUGCGUAGAUAUCUGGAAGAACAUCGAUGGCGAAGGCAGCCUCCUGGGCCUGUUUUGACACUGAGGCACGAAAGCGUGGGUAGCAAACA